Molecule: long non-coding RNA, 329 nt
Filed under: Homo sapiens (human)
Lineage: Eukaryota; Metazoa; Chordata; Mammalia; Primates; Hominidae
Description: non-protein coding lnc-CCDC144A-4:1
Source: RNAcentral
GGUGCAUCUGGCAACCCCACCAAACCAGCCUCCCAUCCCGGAAGCCAGCAGCAACCACACCUCCUCGUGGUUCUUCCUCAGGUCGGCGUUGGCCUCCUCCAGAGCACGCACCUUGUCCAGGUAGGAGGCCAGGCGGUCACUGAGGUGCUGCAUGGUCACCUUCUCACUGCCCACCAGAAGCCCAUCACCACCAGCAAAGCCACCACCCAAGCCAGCACCCAAGCCACCACCGACGCCAGCACCAAGGCCACCACCAUAUCCUCCCCCAAAGCCACUAGCAAAGCUGCUGCUGCUGCCGAAGCCACCGCCAUAGCCGCCCCCCAGCCCGC